AUUGAACGCUGGCGGCAGGCUUAACACAUGCAAGUCGAGCGGAGCGAGGGUGCUUGCACCUUAGCUUAGCGGCGGACGGGUGAGUAAUGCUUAGGAAUCUGCCUAUUAGUGGGGGACAACAUUCCGAAAGGAAUGCUAAUACCGCAUACGCCCUACGGGGGAAAGCAGGGGAUCUUCGGACCUUGCGCUAAUAGAUGAGCCUAAGUCGGAUUAGCUAGUUGGUGGGGUAAAGGCCUACCAAGGCGACGAUCUGUAGCGGGUUUGAGAGGAUGCACGGCACCAGGGGGCCUGGACCACGGCCCACACUCCUAGGGGAGGCAGAGGGGGGGAAUAUUGGACAAUGGGCGGAAGCCUACUCCGGCCAUGCGGGGUGUGUGAAGAAGGCCUUUUGGUUGUAAAGCACUUUAAGGGAGGAGGAGGAUACUUAGAUUAGUACUCUGGGAUGGUGGCCUUUACUCGCAAAAUAAGCACCGGCUAACUCUGUGCCAGCCCCCGCCGUAA
RNAcentral lists this ribosomal RNA (501 nucleotides) under uncultured bacterium. RNAcentral's name for it is "partial 16S ribosomal RNA". It matches the Rfam family "Bacterial small subunit ribosomal RNA", at positions 30 to 523 of the family's 1533-position model. The record is from RNAcentral.